Long non-coding RNA from Limulus polyphemus (Atlantic horseshoe crab), 9963 nucleotides. RefSeq lists it as uncharacterized. The transcript is spliced from 2 exons. The record is from RefSeq and is a predicted model, not a curated record. Lineage: Eukaryota; Metazoa; Arthropoda; Merostomata; Xiphosura; Limulidae.
GCUAAAUUACAGAUGGCUAGCACAGAUAGCCCUCGUGUAGCUUUGCAUGAAAUUCAAAACAAACAAACAAACACCAGCUUCUAGCCACUGCGGUAGUGGACCACCAAGGCUUUCUCGUGGGUGUGCUCCAUUGUACUUGGUUGAGAGUUAGGUUGUGGUGUUCUGCUAGUGUAGAUGUGUGUACUCUCCUUCUGCAUCAGACCUGAUGUACAAUUCCAGAUGACAAAAUGGUUUUGGACUGGAUGAAUCCACCACACACAGUUCACCAUCCCAGCUGCAAAAUCUUUUUCCUACUGCCUCCUGGAUGUCAGUUCCAAGAUGUGGUGGUGUUGGUUGGAGCUGGACUGGCCAACAAUAGUUCUUAUACACAUGUUGGGGCUGGGACCCUCUUCAUAUGAUGGAAUGAAUAAUUCAUUUCUAGUGCCACAUGGUUUUGGACUGGAGUUGACCCUUCACACUGCAUUCCAUCUUUCUACUGUCACCAGAUCUCGGAUUACUAGGUGACUAGUGUUGGUUUUGUACUAGGUCUGCACCUGUGCUGGCUUGGGUUCUCAUAGUUUAAGCCUUCUUUCCAUUCUGGUUUCUGAGCCUGAGGUGAAGAUGGUAGGGACCCUCUUCCUAACGUGGCCCAAAUGAUCCAUUCCUGGUACUGCUGGUUUUGGACUGCUUUUGACCUACUAAUUAUGGCUCAUCUAGGUAAUAAAGGAUGUGCCUUUUUUCCACCCAUUUGGUGACAUGAUCAUUCAUCAAAAGUGAGUAUACACGAUUCAUAUGUGGUGCAGUCUUCCUUGUGUGUUUCCUUUUCAUUGAGGUGUCACUCUCCAUAGGUUCUCUUCACACUUUCUGAAGGAUGUGCUUCCAGUUAGUUUUGUACUUGUCCCUCUGUCAGGUCAGUGUGGGAUUGUAGCUAUUAUGUGAGAGGAGUUAAGGUAUCGUACCUGUAGUUAUAAUUUUCUAAUACUGAUAUUUCUGAUAGAUACCACCUCUCACACUUUCCACACUUCUAGUGCUUCAUUGUUGUGUAAUCUUGAAGUGAAGAUUCUGUUCUACAGCAUAGAGGGUGUCAGCUACACUAGGAGAGUUUGUUGCACUCCUAUUGGUGGUGGUGGGUUUUUGCAUGCUACAGCACAACAGUACCACGUCAAAACACACGGAGGUAGGCUAGAGCAUCAAGGCUAGUUGAGAGCGAAAAUUGCACAUAUAGAAGGUGGUAAUAAUCGAAAAAGUUACUAUACAAGUGGACGUAAGCAUUUAUUAGAAAAAUAUUUUUUGUGUAGAAAAAUUAUAACAUUACCAUUUCAGAGGGCACAACCUUAACUUCAUUUGGUGGUCCUCUCCUCUUUCUGCAUGAGUUUUUUUCUCUUUUGAGGACUUGGGCUUCCAUGGAACCCCUUGAUUUCUGCUCACAUGUAUCUUUUAUAAUGGAGUACCCACUCAAUUGAAUCUCUCUUGGAAUCUCUUGUCCUUCUUCACCACCAACCUAAUUUUACCUGGUGGCUCAACAAGACCAAUACAAAGAAGGGUGUUCCUCUUCCUCUCUCAUGUUUGGAUCUUUUUUGCAGAUGCUUUCAUAGUGGUUGAGGUGCUUGUCUCUUUCGAGUAUUUGGGGUUGAUGGAAACAGGGGGUAUCGACCCUUUAUAUAAACGUUUAGGAACUCUUAUUGUUUUGCUGGACUUUAGAUUAUUUUCUACAUGAGGGUUGGUAAUGAUUCAGAAAAUUCAACAUUGGUAUCCUAUAUCAAUUGCCAGAUAGGCAGUUGGCUGCUAUGUAUUUUCAAACCCUCGACCUCUUCUGUUGGACUCGUUCUCUACAAGUCUGUCUUGUGUGUUUUGUUGUUUUUCACAUGCGCUGAAUCUUGGCACAAAUCAUUGUUUGAGACUCGACAAGAUAUUUAUCAUGGAUUAAUUCCUCAAUUCUUGCGAUUUUCGAUGGCUUUACACUCACCUUGGUACUCCUCACAUCAAUGUAUUUCCCAUUUACCACAAUGUUAAGCUUCUUCUAUUCUGGUUUCCUGUUCUGCAUCAAUUGGCACUGGCAGUGGCUGCUUUCAGUCAAGACUGGCCCAGUUUCUUCCUUUGUGCUUACCUCUGUUCAUUAUCUCCCUCGUAGUCUAUCAGUCAUUCAAGACACUUUUUGUUGGGGCCUUCUGAUAGUGCCUUAUUAUUAUUAUACAUAAUUCAUUUGUCCCUCACUUCUAUCAUCUAUUGGAGGAGAUAGUUUGGGCUGGCAUUUGGACGACCUUUCAUACACUUUUGAUACACACUAUCCCUGUCAUCUGGUCAUUUUCAUCUAGCUAUAGAGUGGUGGUCAUUAUUCUUCAUGCAUCAUACCAUCUUUGAAUGGGAAAUUAUUUUUUCUUACCUUCUUUUAACAACCCUCUAAUCCCUUAGAGGAUUUCAAACAGUGACAAAUGUUGCCUGUCAGGGUGUAUUUAACCGAAAUCUGCAUGGUGUAGGAACAUUCUGGCUUAACAAAGUGCUCACCUAUUACAUGGGUUUUCCACAAGACUGCUUGAUGUAUCUUCACUGUGCAUAUUUUCCUAAACAAGGCUCGAUCGACACACUAACCACUCAUGAACUAGUAUGAGAAAAGCAAGCAGGGGUUUCCUGCCCAUCCUCCAUGCCUAGUUUAAGACCAAUUACUAGCCUGCUUUUAAAAUAUAGGGUUACCUGGGUCACCCAUUGUACUGUCUUAUGGUGAUACACUCCUCUGUACUCUUCACCAUACUUUUAUACCCAUUUUUACUUCUAGUGGAGCAUGAGAUCUUUUGCCACUCAGGUGGUUCACCAUGGAGGUUACUUUCCAAAUGUGAUCAAAUGUGUAGGGUGGUAAUGUUUUGUCCAAGUAGUACACUUCACCCCUCCAGCCAGAUUUCUUCCAUUCUUCCACUACUCAGAAGAUGGGUUCUUGGGUGGUCUGGUGUUGGAUUACUGCAUGACCAUUUGCAGGGUAGAUGUUCCUCUCCCAUUCUGUCUCACUGGGGUCGAGAUGGAGAUGGACCCUUCUCUUACUGUGGCCUGGAUGCCGAAUACUGUGUGCCAGCUGGUUUUGGACUGGAAUUGACCAACCACAUAUGAUCUGAUAUGCCCUAGUCACACUAUAUAUAUACUACUUUCAAAGCCUGAUUCUGGACUGUGCUUGUGUCUUCUACCUAUCCUUGUGACACUUCUUUUCUUGGCAAAUAGUAUACCAUGGUAUAGACGAGAUGCAAUCUUCCAAGGGUGUGUCCCACACUGUUUCAAGGUAUAGAGUGUUGCAUUCCAGGUGUUCUCUUUUGGCACUUUCUAAAGGAGACUAAUCUGGGUAAUAUUUUGGACUAGUCCCCUUACCACUUCAGUAUGGGAUUCUUUCUAGAUGAGAAUAGAAGUUAUAUAUCAUAUUGGAACUAACAUUUUCGAAAACUGAAAAUGCAUUUGCAUUAGAUACCUCUCUCACUCUUUCCACCCAUCCUUCCCACUUUUAGUGCAUCUUACUUUCUCGUCUAACCUCAAAGUGAUGAUUGAACAAUCAGUACAGAGAGCUAGUUCAACUAGGAGGUGAUGUUGCACUCCUGUUGGUGGUGGGGUUUUCCAUGAUCAUUUGCUUGUACCAAUAUCACGUGUUACAUUAGGUAGGUGAGCAAAAAGUUCGUAUAUAGAGGGCAGCACUGAAUCAGGAAAGCAAGAUGGGAGUAGAGUGUCUAUUGGAAAUACAUUGUUAGUGUUGGAAAAUGUUAACUUUGAUAUUAAUGGGACACAUUUGUGUGUGUUUGCAUGCAUUUCUAUAUUCUUUUUAAUAAUUGGAAACUAUUUAUCAAGUAGCAUAUGUUUUAUUAGAGUUGUAUUUGCAAUCUUAAAAGUGGUUAUGUUGGAAAAAGUUUCCCUGUUGGGAAUAUUAAUGUUAACACAAUUCUAGGUUUCUAUAUAUAUACAUAUACAUGUCUGUUUAAUAUUUUCGCUUUUUGAAAUAGCCUUUAGAAUAUUAUUUACUGCAACUAUGUGUGUGGACUUAAACAUUUCAGAAAUGUUUCUCUGCACUACAAGGGCUAUUACCUUGCUAUCUUUCUUGUUGUGGUUUCUUGGGGGCAUUUUUUUAAACAAUGGCAUCUUUCUGAAACUGCUCAUCAACCAUCAACACAGCUCACUUUGUUUUCUUUACCUUGGAGGCACAAGGAGUUUCUCAACAUAUAGAGCCUAAUGGGGUCGUCACCUCUAUUCCUUGUCUUCUUGUUACUAUCCAUGCCUCCCCCUCGUUGAGGGCUGGCCAUUACAGAUCGUGGAAGAGAUUUGUUUCUGAAGCUACCAUUGACUUUAGUUCUGUGGGAUCUUCCUUCCACUUUCUUUAGUUUGUUUGCAACAGUCGAAUAUUUGGUUCACUGUCUUUCCCUUUGAGUUUGUUAUAUCCCCAUUUUUUCAUUGGGUCCAGUGGACUUUUAUUUUGAGGUUAUAUUCUUCACACUUAUUGUUACACUACUCUAUGGAUGUUUGGCCGCUACUUGUCCCUGAUAUUGUGGCUUUCACUGCCUCUGUUCUGGUGGAUGCAGUUCUCAUUUCGACAUCUGGUCUUGAGGAGAGAGGUUUCUCUCCACCUGCACCAUAGAGCUGAUGUCUACUCAGUUUGUCAUCAUCUGUAGUCUCAUUUUAUCUCAUUUGGACCGUUCCAAUAGAGUGUAUUCUCCAUCCUCUGGUGUUAUCAGUGGACAUGUUUGCUCUAUGAAUAUCUUAUUACUACAUUUUCACCUCUCCUCCACUUAGCUGUUAUCCAGUCCCAGACUACAGUUCUGGUUGAGGAUGCUCUGUGUUUGGUGCAGUUCAACCUCCUUUUAUAUGCUUCAAACAUAUUUAUUCCUGUUUCCCUAAGUGGGAGAUAUGAUUCACUUCGGUCUUAGCUUUCUUCCACACUAUUUACAUAAAAAAAGGGUCCAUCAUCAUCCUGGAUUAUUCCAAGUUAUGGGUGGCUUGAUUUGAUGCUAUCUCCAUUCCAUCCUCCCCUUUCUCUAUAAUCAUUACUACCUAUAAUCUCUUCUGUUCAGUCUAUUCAAUAUUAUCACACUUGUUCUGCUCCUUUUUAGGGCACAUGCCAACAUUUUUAUUGCCAUAAGGUCCCACGUCUUCUGGUAACUUUGAUUUAAAUGUGAUGAUCCUUUUCUUAUUUUUAAUGUAUUCUCCCAUCGUAUUUGUCGUCUUAAAGCUUCUCUUGACUCUAGCCUUUGACAUACCUUAGGAGAUGCUGCAGGAGGAGAUGUGGAUGACUCCCACACAGUAGUUAGUUGGUUAGUUAAGGCUUUAUGGGGCAAAACACUAAGGCUAUUUGUGCCAAACAUGUGAGUCAUAAAUAUAUAAAAACCAUAAGAAGGAAUGUAAACCAAGUAAAAAAUGUAGAAAAUGAAAAAGUCAAUGUCAUUAUUUGUAAAUUAAUAAUGAAGCCAAGUAAUGUAAAUUAUGUAUAAGAAAGAUAUAAAAUGAAAAUAAAUCAGAAAGGCCAAUACAUUUGUAUGUACAAACAAAAUCAAAACAUCAAAUAGAAUAUAAAAAAGCUAAAAACACAAUCAAUUUGGACAGUGCACUGUUACCAAAGGCACUCUAAUGUCACAACAGAUUAAUCUCAUUAUUUACACUACAGGGAAGUUUUAUCUAACUUGGCUUUUGUCUCUCUCCAUUCACUGCUGCUGGUUGCCAGCUGUUGAGAUGGAGUUUUUGCAAAACUGCUUUAGCAAUUUAUAUAUAUGUAUAUAUUAUCUUCCAGGGUAUUCUGCAAUUUUUAAAAAGUGAUAGCAUCAGGUGUGUGCCUGUUCUCACAUCUGGCUCAUGCUUACUUUCUUUAGUCAUGAAAUCUUAGUGUUGGACCCAAUUCUAGAUGAUUAUCCCUAUGACAAUCCAAACAAUCAUCAGUAUUAAUGCCCACAUAGAUCCUCAUGUCCAUUUCUUCUAGUGAAGUAUGGAAAAUCCCAUUUUUUCCAUCGUCCAAAACUGGUGAAGUCGAUAAGAAUUUCUUUAUUGGGCAUUGCAAUCCUACUGGUACAAGACAGAAGGAUACAUCACUCGAUUGGUAAGUAGGGCGGAAUGUAUGUGGUUGUAUAGUACAGGAAAUUUCCCUACAUUUUGAACCAAACCAUUGCCGAUGGUUUGGUACAAUUAGAUGAGUUUGGGAUUUGCCUUAGGACACAGGGAUUAUUUAUAAUGCUUCUGAUUAAUUUGUGUUUCUCCUAUAUGAAAUGGCUUGAAUUAUAGCACAACUACACAGUUUUACUCAGCUGCCUACCUACAAGAUAAUAGCUGGUUAAGCAAUCACAAAUUCCAAUUAUCAUUGGAAUUAUGAUUUGUCAUUACUCUAACCAUCAACAUCAGCACCAUCAGUAUCAAUGGUGACUAUCCAUUGGGUUUGGACACAGUUAGCUCAGUUAGUUUGGCACCCAUUUGCAACCAAUUGUUGGGUUCUUCAAAGGUUAUCAAAAGGCCUGCCUCUUGAUUUUUCUAUCAUACUCUUUUGUCUCCUGUUCCCAUUUUUCCCCUCUUCUUGGGGAUCCAAUUUGUUGCCAGCAUCUGUACAAAACAGUGUUGGACCUCUUAGCAAAAGAUGCUAUUAAUUGGAGUUUUUUCCUUCUCCAGGACUAUGUUCCCAACUGUUUGCCAUUCCCAAGAAAACAGGGAAUUGGAAUCCAGUUAUAAAGCUUUCAAUCCUCAAUUAAUCCAUUUACCUCCCCUCUCUUAUCAUGGAGUAUUUUCUCAUGCUUGGAUGGUCUGUUGGUUCUAGGUGGCUGGAGGGACAAGAAAGACAUCUUGGAUGCUUACCUUCACAUUCUGAUUUCCCAUGCUUCCUGGUGUUAUCUUUGGAUUGUUCCCCAGAAUCAGAUAUUUCAAUUCCAUGCUCCCCAUUUUGGCCUAGCUUUGUAGGGUAGUGAAAGCUUUUGCUUGUCACAUUCAUGGCCUGGGACUGCAUUUUCACCAUUAUAUGGAUGAGUGGCUUCUUUUGGCUCUGUCUUGAUGAGCCUCAUACGACCACUCUUCUCUUCCUUCGAGAGUCCACAUAUUUGGGUUGAUUGGUCAAACUGGAGAAGUCACAUCUCACACCCAUUAUCUCAUUCAUUUGGGUGUUUUACAAUUCACAUCUCAGUAGUUUGCAGCCUUCCUCUCUGUAUAACAGGCAUGGAGCACUUAGUUGCUAGUUCCAUAUUCUCUCAUAUUUCCACUGUUCAGGAGGUUCUCAUUUGGGGACUUGGGCUUACAUAAAAUUCCUUAUCCCUUUGGGACAUUCUUUUAUGUGUCAUCUUUAAUGGGCUCUGCAUGAUUAAUAGGAUCCUCUAUCCUUCACCUUGAAAUGGCAUAUUUACGAUCUAAAAAAAUUUCUGGUUGCUUUACACCUUACUGUUUCUCUGGCUGCUUGCUUCUGUUGUCCAUUGGAGUGUAUUGUGCAAGCUAGUAUGUGGAGUACCCUACACACUUUUGUCACGCAUUACCUUCAUCAUCUGACUGUCUAUUCUUCCUCAGGAUAUCGACUUCUUCCCAUUGCCAUUCUACAUACACCUUACCAGCUCUGACUGGUUAAGUUUUUUUUUGUUUUCCCUUACGUUUAUAGGGUCGAUAUUUUACAUCUCAGGAUCCUGUUAAGUGGUAUGUGGUGCCUGCCAGGGUAUACUUAUAUUUAACUCCAUACUGUGGAUCUGUUUGAGCCUGUCACACUCACCAAUAAAAUGAGGUGUUCUUCAAGAACUCUAGAGGUUUCUUUGUGGUAUAGUGUUUGCUAAACAAGGCUCAAUCCAGACUGUACUCUCCUUAUUGUAAUUGAGUACGUGAGUCCUUUUCACUCACCAGUUCCUAGCUGCUGGGAUGGUGAAUCAUGGAGGCUUCCUCACGAGUGUGACCAAUUUUACGAGUAGGGCAGUGGUGUUCUGUUGAUGUAGAUAGUGUGGACCAUCCUCCUAAUGCAGAACGAACGAAAAAUUCCCAAUGCUACUUGGUUUUAGCCUAGAGAUGACCCACUAAGUAUAAGUUCACCCCUCUGGCUGGAUUUUACACAUCCUACCGUUGUCUGGAUGUCAAUUUCUGGGUGGUCAGGUAUUGGACAGGAGUAGAACCAGCCAACAUAAAUAAGCCCUCACUUAUGUGGUUGAAAGGGACCACUCUCCAACUAUGGACCAUAUUAAAAAUACCCGAUGAAAUAUGAUUUUGACCCAUUGACCCACCAUGUAAGUUCAGAUGUGCACUGGCCACAAUACACCAUGUGGCAUGUCCAUAUUUCAGACUCUGGAUUGUGCUUAUUUUCUGUCCAACUUAGUGACAUAUUUCUUAUGGACAAAGUGUAUACCAUGGUACAGAAGAGUUGCAGUCUUUCAUGGGUGUGCCCUUAUGUUUUAUUUGGCAUAGGGCAUUACACUCCACAAGCUUCUUUUGGGCACUUUCCAAACCGAGUUCAUCUAGGUAACUUUUGAACUGGUCCCUCCACUCUUUCAAUGUGGAAUGCUAGUUAAUAUUCGAGGGGAUGUGAGGUAUCAUUUUGGAGUUAAACAUUUUCCAACACUGAAAAUGCAUUUCUGAUAGAUAUUUACCUCCAGUGCAUCUUUUCUUGCUUAAUUUCAAAUGGUAAUUGAACAGGCAGUAUGGAUGGAAUCAGCUAUGCUAGGAGGGUGUGUCACAUGCUCAUUUGUAUGCUAAAGCACAACAAUAGCACGUGGAAACAUGCUCGUUUAGGUGGGACGCUCAAGGCUAGUGCCGAGGAAAAAAAUUGUACAUAUAGGGGACAGCAUAAAAAUCAGGAAAGCUAAUAUGUAAGAGAAGGUAAGUAUCUAUCGGAAAUGCAUUUUCAGUGUUGAAAAAUAUUAACUUUCACACAUCUAAGUGACACGAUUCAUGUGAAACUUUCUUUUGAUAUACCUCUUCUCCUGACAACCAAUACAACAAUAACAAUGGGCAAAAAACUUUCCCAGCAUUAGAUGGAUGGAGUCUCCCACCAAAUGCUACCUGCCUCAGGGCUCUUCCUUUGUGAUGGUGUUUUCAGAAUGGAACUCAUUUUUGUAAUUUCUUUUUCUGCACUGCCCUCUCCUUUAUCUUCACUGCAGAAUUUUAGCUCUUUGUAGUGCAGAGGCAUGUAACUUUUUCGAAGCUAACAUUUUCCUCACCUGACAAUAUAUUUCAAAUAGAUUAUCACCCCUCUGCACAAACUUCACACGUUUGGCGUAUUUAGUUUGCCUGAUCAAGAAUAAGAUUGUGUUAAAAUGCUAGUGCUCAUGGGGAUUACUGUAUAUGGAAGAUGUGUCGCUCUCCUACUUGUGGAAGGCAAUAUUGUUAUGAUUAUUACACCAUAAUCUAGUGCAAAAACACUACACUGUUCAAGGCUUGUGCAGGAAUGUGCACAGAAGUUGUGGACAUGAAAUAAUAGCUAUAUGAUGAAGAUAUAUAUAUAUAUAUAUUCAAAAUGCAUUUUCAGGUAAGGAAAAUGUUAAAAAUUAUUGUUUCAGGUUUAAAAAAGAUUCUCCAGAACUGCUAACAACUGCAAAAUUGCCCAGCUCAUCAUUAAGGCUGGACUACCCAAUUGCUUUAUCAAUCUAAAUCUGUAUUGCUUAUCCACGUAUCAUAAACUUAAUAUUAGAACAACACUUGCAUAAGCAGGCUUAUCUUCAAUUAGGAUUUUUAGGAUUUAAUUCAGUACGUCUUUAAAACGUAGUUUUACGUAAAUAUCUAAACAAUGAAGUCCUAAUAUGAACUAUUUCAUGAUAAAUUAAUUUUUCAUAUUAGUGUUAGAUGUUUCUUUUAUAGAUUUGAAUCAGUUUACAAGCAGCUAUUGAAAAUUGUAUUCAGAGUUAUAUAAUCCACAGAUAAAUUUAAGUGAAAGACAGUUUACUUGUUCAGAAAUGGGUCUUGUUGAACAUGUAAGAAGAGGCAAGCUAAAUUCUUGAGUUGUUAAAUUCUGCAGAUAAUUCGAUUUAUAUUUGAUUCGUCAAUAGAUUAAUAUUUUUUUAUGGAAAAUAAAUGUUUCUUUACCUAGGA